GAUGAACGCUGGCGGCGUGCUUAACACAUGCAAGUCGAACGGUGAAGCAGGAGCUUGCUCUUGUGGAUCAGUGGCGAACGGGUGAGUAACACGUGAGCAACCUGCCCCUGACUCUGGGAUAAGCGCUGGAAACGGCGUCUAAUACUGGAUAUGUGAUGUGACCGCAUGGUCUGCAUCUGGAAAGAAUUUCGGUUGGGGAUGGGCUCGCGGCCUAUCAGCUUGUUGGUGAGGUAAUGGCUCACCAAGGCGUCGACGGGUAGCCGGCCUGCGAGGGUGACCGGCCACACUGGGACUGAGACACGGCCCAGACGCCUACGGGAGGCAGCAGUGGGGAAUAUUGCACAAUGGGCGGAAGCCUGAUGCAGCAACGGCGCGUGAGGGAUGACGGCCUUCGGGUUGUAAACCUCUUUUAGCAGGGAAGAAGCGGAAGUGACGGUACCUGCAGAAAAAGCACCGGCUAACUACGUGCCAGCCGCCGCGGUAA
Molecule: ribosomal RNA, 484 nt
Filed under: uncultured bacterium
Lineage: Bacteria
Description: partial 16S ribosomal RNA
Rfam family: Bacterial small subunit ribosomal RNA
Source: RNAcentral